CUAGCCGUAAACGAUGGAUACUAGGCGUUGUGAGUAUCGACCCUCACAGUGUCGUAGCUAACGCGUUAAGUAUCCCGCCUGGGGAGUACGCGCGCAAGCGUGAAACUCAAAGGAAUUGACGGGGGCCCGCACAAGCGGUGGAGUAUGUGGUUUAAUUCGAUGCAACGCGAAGAACCUUACCAGGACUUGACAUGUCGCGAAUCUCAGGGAAACUUGAGAGUGCCUUCGGGAGCGCGAACACGGGUGGUGC
This 250-nucleotide ribosomal RNA is filed under the name uncultured Chroococcidiopsis sp. RNAcentral describes it as "partial 16S ribosomal RNA". It matches the Rfam family "Bacterial small subunit ribosomal RNA", at positions 796 to 1044 of the family's 1533-position model. The record is from RNAcentral. Lineage: Bacteria; Bacillati; Cyanobacteriota; Cyanophyceae; Chroococcidiopsidales; Chroococcidiopsidaceae.